CAGCCGCCGCGGUAAUACAGAGGGUGCGAGCGUUAAUCGGAUUUACUGGGCGUAAAGCGUGCGUAGGCGGCUUUUUAAGUCGGAUGUGAAAUCCCUGAGCUUAACUUAGGAAUUGCAUUCGAUACUGGGAAGCUAGAGUAUGGGAGAGGAUGGUAGAAUUCCAGGUGUAGCGGUGAAAUGCGUAGAGAUCUGGAGGAAUACCGAUGGCGAAGGCAGCCAUCUGUCCUAAUACUGACGCUGAGGUACGAAAGCAUGGGGAGCAAACAGGAUUAGAUACCCCAGUAGUCCCUGUCUCUUAUAC
RNAcentral lists this ribosomal RNA (301 nucleotides) under uncultured bacterium. RNAcentral describes it as "partial 16S ribosomal RNA". It matches the Rfam family "Bacterial small subunit ribosomal RNA", at positions 509 to 807 of the family's 1533-position model. The record is from RNAcentral.